GGGAACGUACCUUUUGGUUCGGAACAACACAGGGAAACUUGUGCUAAUACCGGAUAAGCCCUUACGGGGAAAGAUUUAUCGCCGAAAGAUCGGCCCGCGUCUGAUUAGCUAGUUGGUAGGGUAACGGCCUACCAAGGCGACGAUCAGUAGCUGGUCUGAGAGGAUGAUCAGCCACAUUGGGACUGAGACACGGCCCAAACUCCUACGGGAGGCAGCAGUGGGGAAUAUUGGACAAUGGGGGCAACCCUGAUCCAGCCAUGCCGCGUGAGUGAUGAAGGCCCUAGGGUUGUAAAGCUCUUUUGUGCGGGAAGAUAAUGACGGUACCGCAAGAAUAAGCCCCGGCUAACUUCGUGCCAGCAGCCGCGGUAAUACGAAGGGGGCUAGCGCUGCUCGGAAUCACUGGGCGUAAAGGGUGCGUAGGCGGGUCUUUAAGUCAGGGGUGAAAUCCUGGAGCUCAACUCCAGAACUGCCUUUGAUACUGAAGAUCUUGAGUUCGGGAGAGGUGAGUGGAACUGCGAGU
RNAcentral lists this ribosomal RNA (520 nucleotides) under uncultured bacterium. RNAcentral's name for it is "bacterial SSU rRNA". It matches the Rfam family "Bacterial small subunit ribosomal RNA", at positions 120 to 674 of the family's 1533-position model. The record is from RNAcentral.